Molecule: ribosomal RNA, 27 nt
Filed under: Propionibacterium freudenreichii subsp. shermanii
Lineage: Bacteria; Bacillati; Actinomycetota; Actinomycetes; Propionibacteriales; Propionibacteriaceae
Source: RNAcentral
GUUUCGGUGGCCAUAGCGAGAGGGAAA